AUCCAGCUGACGAGUUUCAAAUAGGGUUAAACGCGCAUCCUGGAU
Molecule: non-coding RNA, 45 nt
Filed under: Schistosoma curassoni
Lineage: Eukaryota; Metazoa; Platyhelminthes; Trematoda; Strigeidida; Schistosomatidae
Source: RNAcentral